Long non-coding RNA from Pezoporus flaviventris, 1127 nucleotides. RefSeq lists it as uncharacterized. NCBI's taxonomy places the organism in Eukaryota, Metazoa, Chordata, Aves, Psittaciformes, Psittacidae. The record is from RefSeq and is a predicted model, not a curated record. The transcript is spliced from 4 exons.
CUGCCUAACAGAGAAUGCCCAGCGUCUGCCACAGCAGCAUUUCUGCUGCCCUCUGUGUAAAACGAGAGCUCCCAGGAAUGUUAGCACCAAAGAAACGAAAUUGCUGAAACACUGAUCUCUCAGAGCAAGUUUUCUCAUCCCUGGACUUCCCAACACUAAGAUGAAGCUGGACACUGGACUCUGGAGAUGAAGAGAGACUGGAAGAAGAGCAACUGGAACUCCAGAGAUGGCUCAGCACCACCUAAUUGUGGAGAAGGUAAAAAAAAACCCGGGCAGGUGUUGAAUGAAUGUCAAAGUUGAAGUUAGGCUCUUCCUAGCUUUCCAGCAAGCAUCAGUGGAAGAGAACUGGAGAGUGGGUCUUGGAUGACGAUGCAACAUUCAGGAUGCCCUUUCCAUCACCCACAAAAGCAGCUGAGGAGCUCCUCUUACAGAGCAGGUAAAUAUCAAGCAAUGGAUUCCAAAGCAGAACUGAGGCACCACAGUGAGCCAACAUGCCAGAGGAAGAAGAUAAUCACACCUACCUGGAGUUACCAAUCCAAAAAGCCCCACUUGCCAGUACACAAAAUACAGGUAGGGCUGGACUCCAUCCACACUGGAAGCAAAGCACAGAACAGCUGAAAGAGAAGAAGGAGAUUGAAAGACAACUCUGGAUAUAGACUGCCCUGCACAGCAAUGCAGCUUGGGCAAAGUGCUGGGGUGCUGAUACUCCCUGUCGAGGAGAGGGGAUUCAUGCUGAAAAUAGAUCCUUCUUGAGAAGAAGAUCACAAAUUACAGCAUGACAGGGUGGCUGAGGGUGGAAGGGAUCUCUGGAGGUCAUCUGGUCCAACCCCCCUGCAGAACGGCCACCUAGAGCCAGAUCAGGCAGUUGCCUCACUUUCUGCCACAUCUUAGAUACCACUGCUUCUCCCCCAUGUUCUGUGUAUAUCGAAAAGGGUCUGAAAGUGAGAGGCCACAUUUUUGUGCAGUUUGAAUUGUGGAAGCAAGUGGAAAUGUCUCAAGAAUGCCAGUCCCCAUGAAAAUCCCCUUGCCACAUUUGAGUCCUAGUUAUUCAUAUUAUGGAAAGGAAGAUAAGCCCAAUAUCUUCUCUCUGACACCUGCCCAGAGGAGAUACCCAGUUAGAAUAUAUG